RNAcentral lists this ribosomal RNA (102 nucleotides) under uncultured cyanobacterium. RNAcentral's name for it is "partial 16S ribosomal RNA". It matches the Rfam family "Bacterial small subunit ribosomal RNA", at positions 1434 to 1533 of the family's 1533-position model. Lineage: Bacteria; Bacillati; Cyanobacteriota. The record is from RNAcentral.
UCCAACCCGCAAGGGAGGAGGAUGCCGAAGGUGGGGCUGAUGACUGGGGUGAAGUCGUAACAAGGUAGCCGUACCGGAAGGUGCGGCUGGAUCACCUCCUAA